AAAUGUUCUAAAUAACAAAAAGGACAAUAGGGGUUUAAUAUGAUUUUUUGUUAGAUUUUUAUUAUUUUUUUUGUUAUUUAGAAAUUUAUGUUGUCUUUUAACGUCAGGAUGUCUAUUAAGAGUGUAUGGUGUUGGA
This 136-nucleotide unclassified non-coding RNA is filed under the name Crithidia fasciculata. The record is from RNAcentral. Lineage: Eukaryota; Euglenozoa; Kinetoplastea; Trypanosomatida; Trypanosomatidae.